UGGCUUCCGGAGCUAACGCGUUAAGUCGACCGCCUGGGGAGUACGGCCGCAAGGUUAAAACUCAAAUGAAUUGACGGGGGCCCGCACAAGCGGUGGAGCAUGUGGUUUAAUUCGAUGCAACGCGAAGAACCUUACCUACUCUUGACAUCCAGCGAACGGGGCAGAGAUGCCCCGGUGCCUUCGGGAACGCUGAGACAGGUGCUGCAUGGCUGUCGUCAGCUCGUGUUGUGAAAUGUUGGGUUAAGUCCCGCAACGAGCGCAACCCUUAUCCUUUGUUGCCAGCGAUUCGGUCGGGAACUCAAAGGAGACUGCCGGUGAUAAACCGGAGGAAGGUGGGGAUGACGUCAAGUCAUCAUGGCCCUUACGAGUAGGGCUACACACGUGCUACAAUGGCGCAUACAAAGAGAAGCGACCUCGCGAGAGCAAGCGGACCUCACAAAGUGCGUCGUAGUCCGGAUCGGAGUCUGCAACUCGACUCCGUGAAGUCGGAAUCGCUAGUAAUCGUGGAUCAGAAUGCCACGGUGAAUACGUUCCCGGGCCUUGUACACACCGCCCGUCACACCAUGGGAGUGGGUUGCAAAAGAAGUAGGUAGCUUAACCUUCGGGAGGGCGCUUACCACUUUGUGAUUCAUGACUGGGGUGAAGUCGUAACAAGGUAACCGUAGGGGAACCUGCGGUUGGAUCACCUCCUUACCUUAA
RNAcentral lists this ribosomal RNA (699 nucleotides) under Pantoea deleyi. RNAcentral describes it as "bacterial SSU rRNA". It matches the Rfam family "Bacterial small subunit ribosomal RNA", at positions 840 to 1533 of the family's 1533-position model. The record is from RNAcentral. Lineage: Bacteria; Pseudomonadati; Pseudomonadota; Gammaproteobacteria; Enterobacterales; Erwiniaceae.